Molecule: ribosomal RNA, 247 nt
Filed under: uncultured Lactobacillus sp.
Lineage: Bacteria; Bacillati; Bacillota; Bacilli; Lactobacillales; Lactobacillaceae
Description: partial 16S ribosomal RNA
Rfam family: Bacterial small subunit ribosomal RNA
Source: RNAcentral
CAUGCUGUAAACGAUGAGUGCUAAGUGUUGGGAGGUUUCCGCCUCUCAGUGCUGCAGCUAACGCAUUAAGCACUCCGCCUGGGGAGUACGACCGCAAGGUUGAAACUCAAAGGAAUUGACGGGGGCCCGCACAAGCGGUGGAGCAUGUGGUUUAAUUCGAAGCAACGCGAAGAACCUUACCAGGUCUUGACAUCUAGUGCAAUCCUAAGAGAUUAGGAGUUCCCUUCGGGGACGCUAAGACAGGUGG